GACGAACGCUGGCGGCGUGCUUAACACAUGCAAGUCGAACGCUGAAGACCUGGCUUUUGUUGGGUUGGAUGAGUGGCGAACGGGUGAGUAACACGUGAGUAACCUGCCCUCUUCUUUGGGAUAACGCCCGGAAACGGGUGCUAAUACUGGAUAUUCACUGAUCUUCGCAUGGGGGUUGGUGGAAAGGUUUGUUCUGGUGGGGGAUGGGCUCGCGGCCUAUCAGCUUGUUGGUGGGGUGAUGGCCUACCAAGGCUUUGACGGGUAGCCGGCCUGAGAGGGUGACCGGUCACAUUGGGACUGAGAUACGGCCCAGACUCCUACGGGAGGCAGCAGUGGGGAAGAUUGCACAAUGGGCGAAAGCCUGAUGCAGCGACGCCGCGUGAGGGAUGGAGGCCUUCGGGGUGUAAACCUCUUUCGCUCAUGGUCAAGCCGCAACUGUGGGUUGUGGUGAGGGUAGUGGGUAAAGAAGCGCCGGCUAACUACGUG
RNAcentral lists this ribosomal RNA (486 nucleotides) under uncultured bacterium. RNAcentral's name for it is "partial 16S ribosomal RNA". It matches the Rfam family "Bacterial small subunit ribosomal RNA", at positions 28 to 507 of the family's 1533-position model. The record is from RNAcentral.